This 253-nucleotide ribosomal RNA is filed under the name uncultured bacterium. Its description in RNAcentral is "partial 16S ribosomal RNA". It matches the Rfam family "Bacterial small subunit ribosomal RNA", at positions 524 to 776 of the family's 1533-position model. The record is from RNAcentral.
UACAGAGGGUGCAAGCGUUGUUCGGAAUUACUGGGCGUAAAGGGCUCGUAGGCGGCCAACUAAGUCAGACGUGAAAUCCCUCGGCUUAACCGGGGAACUGCGUCUGAUACUGGAUGGCUCGAGUUUGGGAGAGGGAUGCGGAAUUCCAGGUGUAGCGGUGAAAUGCGUAGAUACUGGGAGGAACACCAGUGGCGAAGGCGGCUACCUGGACCGGUUCUGACGCUGAGGCGCGAAAGCGUGGGUAGCAAACAGG